GAUGAACGCUGGCGGCGUGCCUAAUACAUGCCAGUCGAGCGAACGGACGAGAAGCUUGCUUCUCUGAUGUUAGCGGCGGACGGGUGAGUAACACGUGGAUAACCUACCUAUAAGACUGGGAUAACUUCGGGAAACCGUAGCUAAUACCGGAUAAUAUUUUGAACCGCAUGGUUCAAAAGUGAAAGACGGUCUUGCUGUCACUUAUAGAUGGAUCCGCGCUGCAUUAGCCAGUUGGUAAGGUAACGGCUUACCAAGGCAACGAUGCAUAGCCGACCUGAGAGGGUGAUCGGCCACACUGGAACUGAGACACGGUCCAGACUCCUACGGGAGGCAGCAGUAGGGAAUCUUCCGCAAUGGGCGAAAGCCUGACGGAGCAACGCCGCGUGAGUGAUGAAGGUCUUCGGAUCGUAAAACUCUGUUAUUAGGGAAGAACAUAUGUGUAAGUAACUGUGCACAUCUUGACGGUACCUAAUCAGAAAGCCACGGCUAACUACGUG
This 497-nucleotide ribosomal RNA is filed under the name uncultured bacterium. RNAcentral describes it as "partial 16S ribosomal RNA". It matches the Rfam family "Bacterial small subunit ribosomal RNA", at positions 28 to 507 of the family's 1533-position model. The record is from RNAcentral.